AGAGUUUGAUCCUGGCUCAGGACGAACGCUGGCGGCGUGCCUAACACAUGCAAGUCGAACGAAGUAUGUUUUUCGAAAUGUACUUAGUGGCGGACGGGGGUAGUGGCGGACGGGUGAGUAACGCGUGAACAAUCUGCCCUAUACAAAGGAAUAGCCUCGGGAAACUGGGAUUAAAACCAUAUAACACUUUUCGUUCGCAUGGAUGAGAAGUCAAAUUGAUUAAGAGGUAUAGGAUGAGUUCGCGUCUGAUUAGCUAGUUGGUGAGGUAAUGGCUCACCAAGGCGACGAUCAGUAGCCGGCCUGAGAGGGUGAACGGCCACACUGGAACUGAGACACGGUCCAGACUCCUACGGGAGGCAGCAGUGGGGAAUAUUGCACAAUGGGCGAAAGCCUGAUGCAGCGACGCCGCGUGAGUGAAGAAGGUCUUCGGAUCGUAAAACUCUGUCCUUGGUGAAGAAAAAAAUGACGGUAGCCAAGGAGGAAGCCCCGGAACUACGUGCCAGCAGCCGCGGUAAUACGUAGGGGGCGAGCGUUGUCCGGAUUUACUGGGCGUAAAGGGUGAGUAGGCGGUAAUAUGUGUCAGAUGUAAAAGGCUAUGGCUUAACCAUAGUUGGCAUUUGAAACUGUAUUACUUGAGUGCAGGAGAGGUAAGUGGAAUUCCUAGUGUAGCGGUGAAAUGCGUAGAUAUUAGGAGGAACACCAGUGGCGAAGGCGACUUCCUGGCUUGUAACUGACACUGAGGCGCGAAAGCGUGGGGAUCAAACAGGAUUAGAUACCCUGGUAGUCCACGCCGUAAACGAUGAGUGCUAGGUGUCGGGGGUAUCGACCCCCUCGGUGCCACAGCUAACGCAAUAAGCACUCCGCCUGGGGAGUACGGUCGCAAGACUGAAACUCAAAGGAAUUGACGGGGGCCCGCACAAGCGGUGGAGUAUGUGGUUUAAUUCGACGCAACGCGAAGAACCUUACCAAGGCUUGACAUCCCGUGACAGCUAUGGAAACAUGCGGUCUCUUCGGAGGAAGUGAGACAGGUGGUGCAUGGUUGUCGUCAGCUCGUGUCGUGAGAUGUUGGGUUAAGUCCCGCAACGAGCGCAACCCUUGUUGCUAGUUACCAGCACGUAAUGGUGGGCACUCUAAAGAGACUGCCGGUGUCAAACCGGAGGAAGGUGGGGAUGACGUCAAGUCCUCAUGGCCUUUAUGACCAGGGCUACACACGUACUACAAUGGCCGGUACAACGAGUUGCUACCUAGUGAUAGGACGCUAAUCUCUAAAAGCCGAUCCCAGUUCGGAUUGUAGGCUGCAACUCGCCUACAUGAAGUUGGAGUUGCUAGUAAUCGCGAAUCAGAAUGUCGCGGUGAAUACGUUCCCGGGCCUUGUACACACCGCCCGUCACACCAUGGGAGCCAGUAACACCCGAAGCCGGUGAGCUAACUUAACGGAGGCAGCUGUCGAAGGUGGGAUUGGUGACUGGGGUGAAGUCGUAACAAGGUAACC
RNAcentral lists this ribosomal RNA (1492 nucleotides) under uncultured bacterium. Its description in RNAcentral is "bacterial SSU rRNA". It matches the Rfam family "Bacterial small subunit ribosomal RNA". The record is from RNAcentral.